CCAACGGGGGGCAGCAGUGGGGAAUAUUGGACAAUGGGGGCAACCCUGAUCCAGCCAUGCCGCGUGUGUGAAGAAGGCCCUCGGGUUGUAAAGCACUUUCAGUGAGGAAGAACGCCUGGUGGUUAAUACCCAUCAGGAAAGACAUCACUCACAGAAGAAGCACCGGCUAACUCCGUGCCAGCAGCCGCGGUAAUACGGAGGGUGCGAGCGUUAAUCGGAAUUACUGGGCGUAAAGCGCGCGUAGGUGGCUUGAUAAGCCGGUUGUGAAAGCCCCGGGCUCAACCUGGGAACGGCAUCCGGAACUGUCAAGCUAGAGUGCAGGAGAGGAAGGUAGAAUUCCCGGUGUAGCGGUGAAAUGCGUAGAGAUCGGGAGGAAUACCAGUGGCGAAGGCGGCCUUCUGGACUGACACUGACACUGAGGUGCGAAAGCGUGGGUAGCAAACAGGAUUAGAUACCCGAGUAGUC
RNAcentral lists this ribosomal RNA (465 nucleotides) under Vreelandella stevensii. RNAcentral's name for it is "partial 16S ribosomal RNA". It matches the Rfam family "Bacterial small subunit ribosomal RNA", at positions 338 to 795 of the family's 1533-position model. The record is from RNAcentral. Lineage: Bacteria; Pseudomonadati; Pseudomonadota; Gammaproteobacteria; Oceanospirillales; Halomonadaceae.